GACGAACGCUGGCGGCGUGCUUAACACAUGCAAGUCGAACGAUGAAGCUGGAGCUUGCUCCGGUGGAUUAGUGGCGAACGGGUGAGUAACACGUGAGAAAUCUGCCCUUCACUCUGGGAUAACUGCGGGAAACUGUAGCUAAUACCGUAUACUUUCCCUGGUUGGCAUCCACUAGGGAAGAAAGAAUUUCCGUGAAGGAUGAUCUCGCGGCCUAUCAGCUAGUUGGUGAGGUAAUGGCUCACCAAGGCGACGACGGGUAGCCGGCCCGAGAGGGUGACCAGCCACACUGGGACUGAGACACGGCCCAGACUACUACGGGAGGCAGCAGUGGGGAAUAUUGCACAAUGGGCGAAAGCCUGAGGCAGCAACGCCGCGUGAGGGAUGAAGGCCUUCGGGUUGUAAACCUCUUUUAGCAGGGAAGAAGCGAAAGUGACGGUACCUGCAGAAAAAGCACCGGCUAACUACGUGCCAGCCGCCGCCGUAA
Molecule: ribosomal RNA, 484 nt
Filed under: uncultured bacterium
Lineage: Bacteria
Description: partial 16S ribosomal RNA
Rfam family: Bacterial small subunit ribosomal RNA
Source: RNAcentral